RNAcentral lists this transfer RNA (69 nucleotides) under Fukomys damarensis (Damara mole-rat). It matches the Rfam family "tRNA". Rfam says of the family: Transfer RNA (tRNA) molecules are approximately 80 nucleotides in length. The record is from Rfam by way of RNAcentral. Lineage: Eukaryota; Metazoa; Chordata; Mammalia; Rodentia; Bathyergidae.
GGGGAUGUAGCUUAGAGGUAGAGCACUUGCCUAUCAUACAUAAGGCCAUGGGUUCAAUUCCCAGCACCA